ACACGAUCCAAUUAAGGGCUUUGAAGAAGACUUUCUAGAUAGAAGACAGGAGUGUACUUUUUGUUUUUUUUUUGUUUGUUUGUUCGUUUUUGUUUUUGUUUUUUUGAGACAGAGUCUCGCUUUGUCACCCAGGCUGGAGUGCAGUGGCACGAUCUCGGCUUACUGCAAGCUCCGCCUCCCGGGUUCACGCCAUUCUCCUGCCUCAGACUCUCCGAGUAGUUGGGACUGCAGGCGCCUGCCACCAUGCCCGGCUAAUUUUUUGUAUUUUUAGUAGAGACGGGGUUUCACCGUGGUCUCAAUCUCCUGACAUCGUGAUCUGCCCGCCUUGGCCUCCCAAAGUGCUGGGAUUACAAGCGUGAGCCACCGCGCCCGGCGGAAGACAGGAGUGUUUAAACAGAGACUUAGAGUGAGCAGGGCCAAAGGACAAUGAGCAGGGGCGAGGUAGGGAAAAGCUCUCCAGGCCAAGAUACAAC
RNAcentral lists this long non-coding RNA (473 nucleotides) under Homo sapiens (human). RNAcentral's name for it is "HSALNT0291382". Lineage: Eukaryota; Metazoa; Chordata; Mammalia; Primates; Hominidae. The record is from RNAcentral.